This 609-nucleotide ribosomal RNA is filed under the name uncultured soil bacterium. Its description in RNAcentral is "bacterial SSU rRNA". It matches the Rfam family "Bacterial small subunit ribosomal RNA", at positions 35 to 643 of the family's 1533-position model. The record is from RNAcentral.
GCUGGCGGCGUGCUUAACACAUGCAANUGGAGCGACGAACCGGGGCUUGCCCCGGGGCCAGAGCCGCGAACGGGUGAGUAACACGUGGGUCACCUGCCUCGAUGACCGGGACAACCCGAGGAAACUCGGGCUAAUACCGGAUGUGCUCUUCGGAGGAAAGGUAGCUUCGGCUUCCGCAUCGAGAUGGGCCCGCGGCGCAUUAGCUUGUUGGUGGGGUAACGGCCUACCAAGGCGACGAUGCGUAGCUGGUCUGAGAGGACGAUCAGCCACACUGGGACUGAGACACGGCCCAGACUCCUACGGGAGGCAGCAGUGGGGAAUCUUGCGCAAUGCGCGAAAGCGUGACGCAGCAACGCCGCGUGGGGGAAGAAGGCCUUCGGGUUGUAAACCUCUUUCAGUUGGGACGAAGCUUCGGCGGUGAACAGCCGCCCGGAGUGACGGUACCUUCACAAGAAGCCCCGGCUAACUACGUGCCAGCAGCCGCGGUAAUACGUAGGGGGCAAGCGUUGUCCGGAAUCAUUGGGCGUAAAGCGCGUGUAGGCGGCUCGGUAAGUCCGCUCUGAAAGUCCAGGGCUCAACCCUGGGAUGCGGGUGGAUACUGCCGGGCUC